This 734-nucleotide long non-coding RNA is filed under the name Citrus sinensis (sweet orange). RNAcentral's name for it is "long non-coding RNA (CSIN_LNC002253)". Lineage: Eukaryota; Viridiplantae; Streptophyta; Magnoliopsida; Sapindales; Rutaceae. The record is from RNAcentral.
GAAGCUUAAUUUGUAAUGGAUUUUUUUUCCCCCAUUGUAUCUUUAUUAUUUGUUUAUUAUUGUUCACUUAUCAAAGCACUGAAGAACUCCAAUGUAUCUAAUAUCUCCUAAUUAUCAAGAACCAAAACCAAGUGCAACUUGUAAAUUGUUUAUGAAAACUCAAAAAACAAAAGAGUUCAACUUUUAAAUAUUGCAACGAGAUCAAAGUACACAUAAUGACUCCUAUCGAUCACUUGAAUGAUUAUCACAGAUCUUAUCCCCAAAUUUCUUGAGAGGGAUACAUACAUAUAUAUAAACUUAUAUAUCGAUCAAUUCUCUUUUGUUCAACCAUGGCAUUAAACAUCCCACACUCAUCACAGCUGCCGAAGAUGGCACAACAAAUUUGACCUUGAAAACUCUAAUCCCAAGCCUUCUCUUCGAUACUUCUUGUCGAAUAUCCGAAAAUAUUCUCAUCGCUGCCUCGUUCAACUCCUUUAGAGAUCCCUUGAACUUCUUAUUGCACUUAUUUUCUUCCGAAAAUUGGUAGCUGCUCAAGAAAGCUCGUCUUGCAUGCCAAUAGUAUUGGAGGUCAUUGCGAUUUCCACUAGCAUAUCAUCUUGCCACUUAUCCGCGAGCUUUAGCGACUCGCUUUGAUGUAUUUCCGGAUAAUCGAACACGAUGAUCGGACGAACUUUGACGUUCGGCAUUGGAGAGAAAUGAAGAUGACUCGAUCAUAAAGUGGCUCAAUUGUUAGU